CGCAGCCGCGGUAAUUCCAGCUCCAAUAGCGUAUAUUAAAGUUGUUGCAGUUAAAAAGCUCGUAGUUGAAUUUCGGGAUCAAUAUGUUGGUCGUGCCUUGGUACGUACUGGCAUUAUCGAUUCCUACCUUCUGAAGAACCUCGAUGUCAUUAAUUUGGUGUCUUGGGGAACCAGGACUGUUACUUUGAAAAAAUUAGAGUGUUUAAAGCAGGCUCGCGCUUGAAUACAUUAGCAUGGAAUAAUGAAAUAGGACGUUUGAUUCUAUUUUGUUGGUUUCUAGGAUCGACGUAAUGAUUAAUAGGGAUAGUUGGGGGCAUUAGUAUUCAAUUGUCAGAGGUGAAAUUCUUGGAUUUAUUGAAGACUAACUACUACGAAAGCAUUUGCCAAGGAUGUUUUCAUUAAUCAAGAACGAAAGUUAGGGGAUCGAAGACGAUCAGAUACCGUCGUAGUCUUAACCAUAAACUAUGCCGACUAGGGAUCGGAUGAUGUUAAUUUUUUAAUGACUCA
RNAcentral lists this ribosomal RNA (507 nucleotides) under uncultured Glomeraceae. Its description in RNAcentral is "SSU rRNA". It matches the Rfam family "Eukaryotic small subunit ribosomal RNA", at positions 569 to 1078 of the family's 1831-position model. Lineage: Eukaryota; Fungi; Glomeromycota; Glomeromycetes; Glomerales; Glomeraceae. The record is from RNAcentral.